Molecule: long non-coding RNA, 8289 nt
Filed under: Solanum lycopersicum (tomato)
Lineage: Eukaryota; Viridiplantae; Streptophyta; Magnoliopsida; Solanales; Solanaceae
Description: long non-coding RNA (SLYC_LNC000885)
Source: RNAcentral
CACGCGGUACCCAACAAGCAAACCUCUAAACACAAGUUAAGUGAAUAAAAUACGGGUACUCCUUACACCCUAUCUAGACCUCCAUGCUACAGUCUAACAGUUUACAGUUUACCAAACACACAACUAAAUAACCACACUCUAUCAGUUUACACAUUCUCAAUAACAACUCAAUAUUCAACAGUCACAAACUUCACAGAGAAACACUCACAAGAUCAACAAAACACAAGUUCAAGUUCAUCAAUAAUAAAAUGUGCAAUACCAUCAGAUGCGAUGUAAAGUAUAGUGAUGCAUGUCUUCCCUAACGAUACACACCCGCUAUCUUUCAGUCCGGGACCCAUGGGGGACAUACCUGUCCAUGCAUCUGUCGCGGCGCACGACACAACCCUCGAUAAUCGUAAUCAUCGCGGCGCGAUACGUCCCUCGAAAUAUAAUAUCCAUGGCGGCGCGCGAUACAAACCUCGAAAAUAGUACAUCAUCCUCUACCACAACUAUGUCUCAGAUACCAUGCAAUGACAUGCUCAAAUGAAAAGGAGGCGAUAACCAUUUGAUAACAAAGCACAAUUUACAACAAGAAAUACAACACCAACAAAUAAACAACAAGUCUCCAAAUCAUUCUCAACAUCACAGAAGGAAAUACACGAAUUUCGUACGCUUAACAAGAGUUUAGAAAUCCACUUGCCUUAGUCAAUCGAAUAAUUACUCUUGGACUUGAGCCUUCCCUUUCCGUUGAGCUUCCGAACCAAUGGAAUCUAUUCAAGUAUAUAUUUACAAUAAGUUUUCGGAACUAACAAUACUCGAACGUUUAUGUGUUUAAUAUUAACCUAAAAAUUCACCCAAAAUUUAUAAUCAAGUUCGUAAUUCUAGAUGCCAACUAACAUUUCAACUAUCAUAUUUUUCAAUUUCAUAAUUCGAAUGACACUCACAAAAUACCACUCAUCUAAUAAUUAAAUAUCUAUACUAAUAUAUCAAAACUUAAAUCAUAAUAUAAUAAUCAAAACUAUAAAAAUUACACCUGAAUAAAUUCGAACAAAAACGUUGCAGGAUUAUUAUUAUUUUUCUUGUCAACACCCCUUUAUUCCAAUCUUAUGAUUGGCUCAUCACUAUACAUUCAAAUCACAUUCAAUUCUGUUCAUACAUUUCCAGAACAAUGUACAGACUACUUUAACUACAUACAACCAUUCCCCUUAAAUUAUUUUUUUCAUUCCAUAUUUCCAUCAAACCUUAUUAUUUUAUCCAAUUGUUAACUUCAUUGACUUCUUUGAUUCAAGACACUACCUUAUUUCCUCCAAAAUUUGAUGACAAACCAUAAAGGAAUAUAAUAAUAAUUAUAAGGUUAACACCGGCUCUUGUCCCUUACAUAUUUCAAGCCGCCAGAACGUGCAAUACAGCACACCAUAAGUCUUCCUCAUUCCCACUUUGAAUUUAAUACCACAAAGACACUAAUAUAAUAACAUUACAUAUUGGUUAGUGUUCUUAGGAGAUUUAAUAAUUCUCAAAAUUUCUCUAGGACCUACGCUAAUAAAUUGUCCCUUUUCCAACAUACCGACAGUACACUUCAAAUUUUCAGAAAUCAAAUUAUCUAAAUUAUUAAAUAAAUACAUUGAAAGGGAGAAGCUUUGAUUACCUUACCAAUUCAUUCAAUAUUUUCCUUCGUUAUUUUCUCUAUAGCCGCCAGUUCUCUCCUUGUUUCAAUAGCAAAUAUCAGUUAUUUUUUUUCUAAAUUACUUAUGUUAUUAAAAUUAGCACUCCUUAUUAACCUAUAUUAAUAUUUCAGACUUGACCCAUUAUUAUUAAAAAUAACUAAAUUACCCCCAAAUUAAUUAAUAUAGUUAAACGACUAUUCAAAAUUAUCAAAAAAAAUAACUUUCGGGUCCGAGUCAUUACAUUAUCCACCACUAAAAAUCAUAUUCGUCCUCGAACAUAAGGUGAAAUAAAGUACCUAAAGCUUCAAAAAGCUGGGGGUAUCUCGCACGCAUGUCAGACUCUGUCUCCCAAGUUGCCUCUUCCACUGAUCGGUGCUUCCAUUGCACCUUCACUGAAGCAAUCUCUUUGGUCCUAAGCUUUCGAAUUUUCCUAUCCAAAAUAGCUAUAGGCUCCUCCUCAAAUGUCAAGUCUGGACCCAGCUCCACAGAAUCGAGUGAAAUCACAUGAGAUUCAUCCGGAAUAUACUUUCGAAGCAUAGAGACAUGGAAAACAGGAUGAACUGCCGACAAACUAGGUGGCAAGGCCAGCUUAUAGGCCACCUCUCCCACUCGGCUCAAAAUCUCAAAAGGUCCAAUGAACCUAGGGCUAAGCUUGCCCUUCUUUCCAAACCUCAUCACACCCUUCAUGGGUGAUACUCGAAGCCAAACAUGAUCACCCUCCAUAAACACCAAGGCUCUAACUCUCCGGUCUACAUAACUCUUUUGUUGACUCUGAGCUGUCAAUAAUCUAUACUGAAUCAUAUGAACUUGCUCCAUAGCAUCUCUAAGUAAGUCUGUAUCCAAAGAGUCCAUCUCUACCGAAUCAAACCAACCAAUAGGAGAUCUACACCGUCUACCAUACAAUGCCUCAAAUGGGGCCAUUUGGAUACUAGAGUGAUAACUGUUAUUAUAGGCAAACUCUGCUAAGGGUAAAUGUCGAUCCCAUCUUGCACCAAAAUCGAUCACACACGCUCGAAGCAUAUCUUCCAAAACCUGGAUGGUCCGCUCAGAUUGACCAUCUGUCUGAGGGUGAAAUGCCAUACUCAUAUCUAACUGAGUACCCAGACCAUGUUGUAAUGCCUUCCAGAAGUGAGAAGUAAAUAGUGAACCUCGAUCUGAUAUGAUAGAAAGAGGAACUCCAUGUAGUCGCACAAUCUGACUGAUAUAUAGCUCAGCUAACUUUUCUGCUGUAUACUUCACCCGAACCGGGAUAAAGUGGGCAGACUUGGUCAGCCUAUCAACAACAACCCAAAUAGAGUCAUAACCACCCACUGUGGUAGGCAAACCCACAACAAAGUCCAUAGUAAUCCGCUCCCACUUCCAAGUAGGAAUAGGCAUCCUCUGAGAUACACCCCAGGCCGCUGGUGCUCACACUUGACCUGCUGGCAAGUCAAACACCUCGAAACAAAGUCUGAAAUAUCUCUCUUUAUCCCACACCACCAAUAAUGUUGACUCAGAUCAUGAUACAUCUUCGCCGCUCCUGGAUGGAUGGAAUACCGAGAACAAUGGGCCUCUUCAAGAAUCAAUCUAAUCAAAUCGCCUAUCCUAGGCACACAAAUUCUGCCUCCGAUCCGCAAUACACCAUCAGAAUCAAGGACAGCCUCCUUAGCUUCCCCUCUCAAUACUUUGUCUCGAAUGAGACAUAAUUUUUCAUCAUCAAACUGGUGUGCACGGAUUUUCUCGACUAAAGAAGACCGAGCCUCAAUAAAAGCAAUCAUCCCAUCACUCUCUUCUGAAAUCUGCAAGCGGACAAGACUGUUAGCUAAUAUCUGCACAUCUCUAGCCAAUGGUCUCUCUACAAUACUAAGCGCUGCAAGACUCCCCAUGUUGGGAGUCUUCCUACUUAGAGAAUCGGCCACAGCAUUGGCCUUUCCUGGAUGAUACAGAAUGGUCACAUCAUAGUCUUUCAGCAACUCAAGCCAUUUUCGUUGCCUCAAGUUCAAAUCCCUCUGGCUAAAGAUAUACUGAAGACUCCGAUGAUCAGUGAAGAUCUCACAAUGCACCCCAUACAAAUAAUGACGCCAUAACUUAAGUACAAAUACCACAGCCGCCAACUCCAAAUCAUGAGUACGGUAGUUCUUCUCAUGGGAUUUCAACUGCCUAGAAGCAUAAGCUAUCACUUUCCCCUUCUGCAUCAACACACCACCCAAACCAACUCCUGAAGCAUCACAAUACACAGUAAAGUCUACACCCUCCUCAGGUAGAGUCAACAUAGGAGCAGAAGUCAACAAAGUCUUGAGCUUUUGAAAGCUCUCCUCACACUCAUCAGACCACUGAAAACCCACAUCCUGUCGAGUCAAUCUAGUCAAUGGAGCUGCAAUAGUAGAGAAACUCUGAACAAAUUGUCGAUAAUAGCCUGCCAAUCCCACAAAACUCCUAAUCUCAGUAGGUGAAGUAGGUCGCGUCCAGCCUCUAACUGCCUCAAUCUUGGCCAGAUCUACUCUAAUACCCUCCUUGGACACCACGUGUCCCAAGAAUGUCACAGAAGUAAGCCAGAACUCACACUUUGAGAACUUGGCAUACAACUUCUCUUCUCUCAACCUCUGAAGUACAAUUCUCAGGUGCGGACAUGGUCCUCCUCAGUCUUAGAGUAAACCAAGAUGUCAUCAAUGAAAACAAUCACAAAAGAAUCAAGGUAUGGUCUAAAAAACUCAUUCAUCAACUCCAUGAAUGCUGCAGGGGCAUUAGUCAAUCCGAAGGACAUCACUAGAAACUCAUAAUGCCCAUACCGGGUCUGAAAAGCUGUCUUAGGGAUAUCUGACGCCCUAAUCUUCAACGGAUGAUACCCAGACCUCAAAUCAAUCUUAGAGAACAAUGAUGCUCCCUGUAACUGAUCAAAUAAGUCAUCAAUACGCGGAAGAGGAUACUUAUUCUUAACUGUUACCUUGUUCAACUGUCUGUAAUCAAUACACAUUCUCAUAGUCCCAUCCUUCUUCUUCACAAACAAUACAGGGGCACCCCAAGGUGAUACACUAGGGCGAAUAAAACCCUUACUCAAUAAAUCUUGCAACUGAUCCUUUAAUUCUUUCAACUCUGUUGGGGCCAUACGAUAUGGAGGUAUAGAAAUAGGCUUAGUGUCUGGCUCCAAAUCAAUAGCAAAAUCGAUAUCCCUAUCGGGAGGAACACCUGGAAGAUCAGAAGGGAAUACAUCGAGAAACUCCUGAACCACGGGAACAGAGUCCAUGGAAGGUGGUUCAACACUAGUAUCCCGAAUAAAAGCUAAGUAAGACAAACACCCCCUCUCCACCAAUCUUUGAGCACGGAUAAAAGAGAUGACCUUUCUAGGAUAAGAACCACUAACACUCUUCCACUCAACCCUCGGAACACCAGGCAUUGCUAAAAUCACAGUCUUAGCAUUACAAACAAGGACAACAUGAUAACGAGAAAGCCAAUCCAUACCCAAGAUAACAUCAAAGUCCACCAUUCCCAGAAUGAUUAAGUCUACCCCAAGUGUCAUACCCAGCCAAAGAAACAAGACAGGAUCGAUACACUCGAUCCACCACUAAGGGCUUACCCACGGGUGUAGAAACACGAAUAGGUACAGUCAUGCUAUCACAUAUCAUAUCAAAUUUAGCAGCAAAAUACGUAGACACAUAAGAGAAUGCAGAACCUGGAUCAAACAACACAGACGCAGGUCGAUGGCAUACUGGGAUGAUACCUGUAAUAACAGCAUCGGAGGUCUCCGCCUCAGGUCUCCUGGGGAAAGCAUAGAAGUGGCCUCCUCGUCCACCUCCAUCCUGGGUGGUACCUCUACCCCCACUCUGUUGAGCUGCAACACCACUACUAGAAACUUUAUCACCUCUACCUGACUAAACUCUGCCACGACCUCUACCCUGUUGUGCUGGUAGUCUAGUCUGGAAUGAAGAAUUAGGUCGAGGCCUACCACGACCCCUUUGUGAAGUACACUGCCGCAUUAGAUGAUCGGGAUCUCCACAAGUAAAACAAAAUCUCUAACCUGGGAAUUGUUGUGUGGACCCUGAAAACCCACUAUAAUUUCCUCGCCCUGUAGGUCGCUGCUGUGAACCAUACGAGCUCUGACCCGAGCUAUAAGAACCCCUAGAUGUCUGGACACCCUCAAAUGUCGGCAUAGACGCAUGAAUAGGUCCCCGCUGCUGAAAAGAACCACUCACUCUCUGUUAUUCCCAUCCUCCAGAUGAGGCACCAUGAAACUGUCCUGAUAUACGGGCCCUUUUAGGGUCCCCAAACUCCUCUCUCUCCAUCAAUUCUGCCUCUUUGGCGGCGCUCACAAUGGACUGAAAAGAAGUUCCCUCCCUAGAUGUCCGAAACACAGCUGACCUGAUAGAGAAAGUCAAUCCCCUCACAACUCUGCGGAUCCUCUCUGUCUCAUUUGGAAUAAUGGCCAACGCAUGCCUAGACAACUGGCAAAAACGCGCCUCAUACUCUGUAACCGAUAAACCAUCCUGUCUCAGACUCUCAAACCUCAAGCGACUCUCCUCUCUCACGCUCCAUGGGAUAAAACGAUCUUGGAAUGCACUAGCAAACUGCUCCCAAGUCACUGGAGGAGAUCCAACUGGCAAAACCCCCGAAUAAGUCCUCCACCAGUCUCUCGCUGGUCCACGAAGCUGGAGUGUAGCAUAUCUAACCCCAUGUGACUCAGCUAAUCCAACCACCUCUAGUAACUCUCGGCAGGUAGUUAGAAACUCAUGAGCGUCCUCGCUCUUCCAACCCUGAAACUGAGGUGGGCCCAUCUUUCGAAAUCUCUCAUACCUACGCUGCUCAUUCUCUGUCAGAACAGCCAUCGACGCAACUUGACCCCCAACUGCUAGUGCAAUAUUAUUAUGAACCGCGGGAUCUACUGGUAGUUGCCCCAUCGCAUCCUGAGCAAUCGGAGCUUGUUGCUGCUCUUGGGUCUGAGCCCCCUCUCUACUACGAGAGUCAUGUAGUGUGGUAGUUGCACCACCACCCUGAGAAAAGCCCUUUAGCACACUUAACACCCUCAAUAGCGUAUCUUGAAGCAAAGGUGUGACUACGGGAUCUGGAGGAACCUGGUCCUCUCUGUCAUCAAUCUGAGGUUCGGUAGAGACCUCUCUAGCACUACCUCUCAAUGGUGUUGCUCCACGUCUAUGACCUCUGGCUACUGUCGUACUACUAGCACGACCUCUAGCUCGAGAUCUACCCCUACCCCUAGCUGGGGCCUCAACAACUGCCUCGGGAAGUGCCUCCCCUCUACCACCUGUAAAAUUAGUUCUAGUCCUCGUCAUCUGUCAAAAGAGUAUACAACAACUCACUACUAAAGAAGGUGACUACGCACGAUGAGAAAGAAUGAACAAAAAGAACUUUCAUAGUAAUCCUCGUAGCUUCUCAGAGAUAAGUACAGACGUCUCCGUACUGAUCCUUGAGACUUUACGUAGACUCGGCUUAUAUACACGUGAAACCUAUGAACCUGGGGCUCUGAUACCAUUUUUGUCACGACCGAAAAAUAGGUGUGAUGGCACUUGUGUUAUCCCACCAAGACAAGUCAGCCUAAAACCCAAUAUCUAACAAAGUGCGGAAGUAAAUGACAAUCCAACAACAAUUUCUAGUAUGAAACCAAGUCAUAUUAAUUCAAUCCCCAAAACCAGGUUGUCACGUGCACAAGCCUCUAAUGUAAACAUUAGAAUUGAAACAAAAUAGAAGUCUAACAUGAAGUUGUCUUUCAAAUAAAAACAAAAUCAUAAACUAGAGUAGGAAAGUUCGUUGAGAUGACAAGCAGCUACCUCACAAUCCACCACAAGAUGCCUCGGAAACGAAGAGAAUAGAAAGUAUCACAAAGAUCCGGGCUCGUAACCUACAAAAGUUUGUAGAAGCAAGGGGUGAGUACCAAACCACGUGGUACCCAACAAGCAAACCUCUAAACACAAGUUAAGUGAAUAAAAUACGGGUACUCCUUACACCCUAUCUAGACCUCCAUGCUACAGUCUAACAGUUUACAGUUUACCAAACACACAACUCAAUAACCACACUCUAUCAGUUUACACAUUCUCAAUAACAACUCAAUAUUCAACAGUCACAAACUUCACAGAGAAACACUCACAAGAUCAGCAAAACACAUGUUCAAGUUCAUCAAUAAUAAAAUGUGCAAUACCAUCAGAUGCGAUGUAAAGUAUAGUGAUGCAUGUCUUCCCUAACGAUACACACCCGCUGUCUCUCAGUCCGGGACCCAUGGGGGACAUACCUGUCCAUGCAUCUGUCGCGGCGCACGACACGACCCUCGAUAAUAGUAACCAUUGCGGUGCGCGAUACGUCCCUCGAAAUAUAAUAUCCAUCGCGGCGUGCGAUACGACCCUCGAAAAUAGUACAUCAUCCUCUACCACAACUAUGUCUCAGAUACCAUGCAAUGACAUGCUCAAAUGAAAAGGAGGAGAUAACCAUUUGAUAACAACGCACAAUUUACAACAAGAAAUACAACACCAACAAAUAAACAACAAGUCUCCAAAUCAUUCUCAACAUCACACAAGGAAAUACACGAAUUUCGUACGCUUAACAAGAGUUUAGAAAUCCACUUGCCUUAGUCAAUCGAAUAAUUACUCUUGGACUUGAGCCUUCCCUUUCCGUUGAGCUUCCGAACCAAUGGAAUCUAUUCAAGUAUAUAUUUACAAUAAGGUUU